Molecule: ribosomal RNA, 494 nt
Filed under: uncultured bacterium
Lineage: Bacteria
Description: partial 16S ribosomal RNA
Rfam family: Bacterial small subunit ribosomal RNA
Source: RNAcentral
GACGAACGCUGGCGGCGUGCUUAACACAUGCGAGUCGAACGGAAAGGCCUGCUUUCCCUUGUGGAUUGCGGGUACUCGAGUGGCGAACGGGUGAGUAACACGUGAGUGAUCUGCCCCCAACUUGGGUAUAAGCCUGGGAAACUGGGUCUAAUUCCCGAUAGGACUGCAGGGUGGUGCCUGUGGUGGAAAACGAUUUUCUAGUGGUUGGGGAUGGGCUCGCGGCCUAUCAGCUUGUUGGUGGGGUAAUGGCCUACCAAGGCGGCGACGGGUAGCCGGCCUGAGAGGGUGGACGGCCACAUUGGGACUGAGAUACGGCCCAGACUCCUACGGGAGGCAGCAGUGGGGAAUAUUGCACAAUGGGCGGAAGCCUGAUGCAGCGACGCCGCGUGGGGGAUGACGGCCUUCGGGUUGUAAACUCCUUUCGACCGCGAGGAAGCCACCUGGUUGGAAGGGUGGUGACGGUAGUGGUAGAAGAAGCACCGGCUAACUACGUG